This 253-nucleotide ribosomal RNA is filed under the name uncultured bacterium. RNAcentral's name for it is "partial 16S ribosomal RNA". It matches the Rfam family "Bacterial small subunit ribosomal RNA", at positions 524 to 776 of the family's 1533-position model. The record is from RNAcentral.
UACGAAGGGGGCUAGCGUUGUUCGGAAUCACUGGGCGUAAAGGGCGCGUAGGCGGCUUUUCAAGUCGGGGGUGAAAGCCUGUGGCUCAACCACAGAAUUGCCUUCGAUACUGUUAGGCUUGAGACCGGAAGAGGUGAGUGGAACUGCGAGUGUAGAGGUGAAAUUCGUAGAUAUUCGCAAGAACACCAGUGGCGAAGGCGGCUCACUGGCCCGAUACUGACGCUGAGGCACGAAAGCGUGGGGAGCAAACAGG